CUCUUUUUGAAAUUUUAAAAAGUCUCCCCUGCUCAAUGCUCUUGUAAAUAGCCGCAGUAUUUUGACUGUGCAAAGGUAGCAUAAUAAUUAGUCUUAUAAUUUAAGACUGGAAUGAAAGGGAAAAUCCAAAGAAUACUCUUUCUAAAAUACAUAUUAAACUUCACCUUUGAGUAAAAAGGCUCAAAUUCAAAUCCAGGACAAGAAGACCCUAUAAAUCUUAACAUUUAAGUAAUACAAGACUUAUUAAAAUGUUCAGCUGGGGUGGCAAAUAAACAAACAUUAUUAACUAAUAAUAAACUUAAUAAUACCUAGAAAUUCUAAAAAUUAACAAAGAUACUUUAGGGAUAACAGCGUAAUUUUUCUAAAGAGCCCUUAUUGACAGAAAAGCUUACGACCUCGAUGUUGGAUUAUCCCCCCUCUUUUAUGCAAAAGUAAAAAAAGGAGGUCUGUUCGACCUUUAAAAAUAUCCA
This 470-nucleotide ribosomal RNA is filed under the name Tityus atriventer. Its description in RNAcentral is "partial 16S ribosomal RNA". It matches the Rfam family "Bacterial large subunit ribosomal RNA", at positions 1890 to 2600 of the family's 2925-position model. The record is from RNAcentral. Lineage: Eukaryota; Metazoa; Arthropoda; Arachnida; Scorpiones; Buthidae.